Molecule: long non-coding RNA, 8754 nt
Organism: Pantherophis guttatus
Lineage: Eukaryota; Metazoa; Chordata; Lepidosauria; Squamata; Colubridae
Source: RefSeq, a predicted model, not a curated record
CUACUCAGCCUCCUGCACCAUGGCGGGGGGGGGCAUUUUCACCCUCCCCAAGCUCCGGAGGCUUUCCUGGAGCCUCCAGGACAGCACCGAAGGCCCUCCGGAGGCCGGAAAUGGGCUCAUUUCCAGACUUCCAUUAGGCCCGUUUUUCACCCUCCCAGAGCCUCAUCCUAGUUUGAUGAACCAGAUUAAAAUUAACAUGCAGUUCACCUGAACCGGUCCGAACCGGUUGAAUCCCACCCCCGAUAGUAGUUGAUCAAAGGUUCCUAAGAACUUGAAUGCUUGCUCACAUUGGGCCUUUGAACUGACCCAGUACAUUUUUGGGGCCUAACAAGGACAUUAGAAACAAACCAACAAGGGUUGUUAUCUAACAUUGACUAUUCUAGAAGCCUAUCUUCCAAAUGAUUUGUAUAAAUCAUUGUUAAUUGUAGAUUUUAAAAAGUACUCAUUAUGAUUAGUAAUGGCUCAGAUCUCUUUUCAUAGUGGCUCAGAUCUCUUUUUCUUUUUUUUUCUUUUUUUUUGUAUUUUAAUUUUAAUUUUUAAUUUUUUUAUUGCAAAAGUUUUACAAUUACAUUUUCACCCCUUUUUUCACCCCCCCACCUCCCUCCCCAAACAUCCCGUCCUCCCUAACCCUCCCUAACCCUCCCCCCCAGACUUCCCUAUUAUGUACUCAUAACUAAUAACACUGAUAUAUAUACCUGAACCCAUCCCUCCCCCUAUAUAAUUUUCCCUCUUUAUCUCUUCACAUUAAGAUAUUUCUAAUACAUUGUUUUCAAAUAAAAGCUAUUUGGUACUUUCUAGUUUGGUAUUUGUUCUGAACAUAUUCUAUCCACCUUUUCCAUUCCCAUUCAUAAGUCUCUUGUGAACAAUCUUUUAAAUAUGCUGAAAUCUUCGCCAUCUCUGCAAAACUGGCCAUCUUCAAAGUCCAUUCCUCGAUUGUAGGCAAAGCUUCAUUCUUCCAAUAUUUACCUAUCAACAAUCUUGCUGCUGUUAUCAUAUGCAAUAUUAAUUUUGUUUCACCCCGUGUGAAACCCUUAACUAUACCGCUCAGAUCUCUUUUUCAAUAACUUUCCAUUUUGAUGUCCCAAAGAUGCUUUUUCAGGAGGCAACUGGAUUUUCUUGAGCACUACUCAGGUGACUCUGAGGACACGGAUAAACCUCCAAAUGCUUCAAUGACCCUCUAAAAGGAUGCAAAUUACCAGCUGUCUGCAAGGAACACAAAUCCUUCCAUUCCCCACUAUCCUGUCAGAGCUGAAGAAGCUUCUUGGAUGAGAAGUGAAACGUCUUCAAAAGAAAAAACAAGAAACUCCAGUUGCCUCCUGAAAAAGCAUCUUUGGAACAACCAUGACCUGGAUGACUGAAAAUCUCUAUAGACUUUCAAUUUUGAUGAAUCAAUGAGAUCUGGACAUUUUUCAGUCCUGUCAUUUGGUGCUUGGGCCACAUAAUAUCAGCAUCAUAUAGAAUCAAUUUAAAAGAACCAGAUUCAUAGAUUCUUCUCCAUGAUGAAAACGAUGGCAGAUGCUCAGACAAAAACAAAAAUAUAGGAAUAUUUAUGCCAAAGAUGAACUAAAAAUCACAUGAAUCUGGAUAACGCAAGACAUGCAUGGUCCCUAUGAUUUCACUGGCCAGCCUUACAAAUAUUAUUUUAUGUAUUUUAUUGCGCUAAAACAUCCGCAUGCUGCUUCCCAUUAAAAAAAAAAUUCAAAGCAGUUUGUAAUAAAGUUCAAGCAUUUAAAACAAUAGAACAGUUAAUAAAUAUAUACGCUGCAAACAUUAUAGGAAAAAAACACAAACAAAACAAAUGAUAAAAGUAGCACAGAUUAAAAAAAGCAGCGGUGAAGAAGUUAACAUUAACAUUUUAUUUUAAAAACUUGAAAAGUAAACAUUUAUUUGCUUGGCAUAACAAAGGCAAGGUAGAUGGCUCUGUGCAUAAUUCACUAGGGUGCAAUUACCAAGAUUGGGAGGCCACCACUGACAAGGCUUGUUCUUGGCUGAUCACCAGCCAUGAGUCAUCAUGGGAGAGCACUGGGAACACAUCUUCCUAAAUAUGAUCUUAGAAUGUGAAUAGGAACAUACAGGAAGAGGCAUUGCUUCAGACACCCUAGUCCUGGUAUAUGAAGGGCUUUAUAGCACACCUUGAAUUAGAACUGGAAACAAAGGAGGAAUCAAGUCAUAAACAACUGACAUAUUUCAUUUCAUUCAGUUUCAAAAUUCCUUUUGCUGCAAUCUUUUAUAUUAACUGAAACUUCCACACAAUUUCCAAAAAUACAUAUAAUCUCUUGCUGGCACCUCAUAAUGGAACCCCCCCCCCUACAAUUCUCUGCUAUAACCACACACCAGCCUAAGCUACUGGUAGGUGCCACACUACCAUAGAGAUAAUUUCUCCCUCAAAUGUUAAGUCACAGAAGGAUCAGUGAGAUUUAAAGUCUCUAGAGAAAGGGUAUAAUUUCAUUUAAAAUUAGGGUGCAGUGGCAAAAGAAAACAUCGCCUCAUUCAUAGCAAAUUGUAUUCCCUCGCUCGUGAAGAAGAAGUUCUAUGGAGAUUCUCAGUCAUCCAUGGUUAUCCCAGAGAUGAAAUGUCUUCAAGGAAAAACAAAAAAAGUCCAGAAUUAUCUGCCAUCAUGUUUCCAGAGUCUUUGAACACCAUUAACUUUUAAAAUUUCAAUUAAAUACUUCUCUAAUUUAAACCUACAAAGCCUUUGAAAGGAAAAAUGACAAGAGUUAGAUCAAACAUAUUAAACAAUCUCUUGAUUUUGUUUUGCCCCAUAUUAAUGCAGUCAGAAGCCAUUAUAAUUCUAUUACCCACUUGUGAGCAGCUGCAAAUGCACUAGCCUCUACAUUCAAAGAGAAUUAAUUGCUGUUGGUUAUUGACAACUUGCAAGUCUGUCAAUCAUCCCAUUUCCUUGAAGAAAAGCAUCAGCUUGAUCUUCAUGUAUUCUCUCAUUCCUGCUCCUCAAAGGACAAGAAACAAGCUUAUUGUGAGAGAUAUAAAUGCAUUAUUUCCACUACCUGAAAGCAGAAAAUGUGGACAGCCUGAACAAGAUCCCCCUAUUAUUGUUAUUUGUCCACAAAAAAUAAACACACAAUAUCCAAGAAAUGGGUUUUCCUAUAAUCUAUGAGGAAUAUAAUCGAACACAGUGUACAAAAUUAACCCUCUACCGUACAGUAGCAUGCCUCCCUCCGCGUUAAAGCAUACAAUCUUUAAGUGAAGAGAAAUGCUCAUUUGCCAGUUUUACUCAUCUUUCCCAAGAGAAUCCUUGUUAUGUUAUAGAUUAUGAUCAAAAUAUACCAAAGAGCACUUCCAUUCAGAAAUCAGACUGAAUUUAAAAAUGUUCCAGACUGGAAAGCUGGACUCAAACAAAAAUUAAAAACACUCACGGUUAUAGAAAAGGUCAAAGCAAUAUAUCUUAGUAGCAGAAAACCUUGGAUCAGAUAAACCAAUAACAUAGCAGGUAAUUUGGAGAAAUGGCUCUGCAUUGAUAAGAAAAGACAGGUCCAUGGAUUCCAAGUAGAUUAUUUGGGAUUUGUACCUUUGAACUUCACAGUGCAAACAGAACAAAAACACUAGCAAAUGUGUUACUGCAGUCACAAUUACCUGGAGAUUCUGGGUCAGUGUAGAAUCUUACAAUAUAUGUGUAGAACAAACUUCCAAUUCCUUUCUUUUAAAUGGAAAUAUACUUUUUACAGACAGAGAAACUAUUUGGCCACUCAAAAUCCCAUAUACUUUCUUCUCCAUUGUGGACUUUUAAGUCAUUGUCAGGGUUAUAUUAUAGAUACUUGGCUCCCUCAUUAUAGGUUUAAAGUUCCUAUAGGUUUACCUACAAGGAUUUCUGAUUGAACAGCUGUCUAGUACAAUGAAAGAAAAGCUAUGGUCACCCAACUCCUAUCAUCCUCAAUCAGCAUAGUCAAAUUAAGAAUCACAAGAUCACAGCACAUCAACAUCUGAAAGUCACAAGUAUAUCAUACACAUAUAUAAGCGUGUAGGUGCUUACACAAUCCCUUGAAAAGAUCCAACAGUAAGAAACAUACUUAGUCAUAAUACCGAAAACCUAAUUUGGAUUCUUGUCUCUCUUUUGCAAAGCAGACAAAAUUAAGAGUAUUUAUUACAUGCCCUCCUGAUUUAAAGAUUAUACAAACUGAAGAGAAAUUCCGGUUGUGAAUGACAGAUUAUGCUUCAUCAUUUAGAAAGAACAUAAAAUGUUUAAUAGGGCUUUUAAAAAUCUAAGGUGAAUAGACAGCUGGCAUUCUAAAAAGUCUCUUGGCACAUAAUUCAUUUUACCCAAAUUGAUUAUCUAAUAAUCACAGCUAAACACCUUCACAAGGUGAAUGAUAUUUAGCUUGGGGAAAUCUAUACAAAGCACUGUGAUUUUACUUUUAAAUAAUAAACAGGGUCAAGAUAACCAAGGUGGCUAUAACAUCCAAAUGAUCUCUUACGGUGUUAUGAUAAUGCAGUAUUAAAGGCUAUUAUGGUUAAUACAUAAACACUGGAUCUCCCAUAUUAAUAAAAGAUAGCUGCUGAAAAAUGUACACUUUAAAAAAGUAUUCAUGUCUAAUAGUUAGAAAGGGAACAAAAUAAGAGUUGCCUAAUGAAGCAGCAGAUCAGGUAAUAUAUUUAAUGUACAGUAAUAUGCAAAAUUCAGUCAACUAUGGUCAUAUGUUAUAUAUCAAUGAAUCCUUAAUAGAACAGAAGUUAGUAGAGUGUUAAAUGCAACAUUUUUCUGCGCUUGAAACCAUACUUAAUACUUAGGCGCAGUUGUUUAAAUGUUCAAAAUAAGAAAACCGUGAAUAUGGAAAGAUUUUGACACCCUCCAAGCACUGCUUUGUAACAUUGCAGCUGGCAGAAAUAACAGCAUUCAAACAGUUUUUUGUAACCAGCUAGGAAUCUUUCUAUUCGGCUUUUGGGGGGGAAAUUUCCCCACUGUUCCUAGCAGACCUUUUCUAGCUCAGAAAUAUUUGUAGUUCUCCUUGCAUGUGUGAGAUCUUCCCACAGAUUUUUCAACAAUGUUCAAGACUGCAGGUUCUGAAAAGACUGAAUAUUUCAGCAAGAUGAAGAUAUAAAACAUGCCUCCAAAUAAAUGAUUAAAUAAUUACAGGAAAAUAAGAUGAAGGUUUCAGAAUGGCCUUCACAGACCCCACCCCAGCCAUUUAUGUUUUAUUUUGAACCGCAAACUCUUAUAGUAACUUGUUUCAUGAUAAUCCCCCACCCCCAAUGAUCAGAACCCUUGAAAUAUAGCUGCUCAGAAUGGCCAAGUAGAAGUUCUCCUUGAAAUGGACUUUUAGGUUCAAAUCACUUUGUACGUCUCUCAUUUACAACAAGCAAGUGUUGUUGUUAAGAGAUAUUAGACCUCCACCCCAUUGCAGGCAAAGUUAUUGCUAUUACCCUCACCAUACAGGACCUGCUGAGAAACUAAUAUACACACUCCCUGCCGUGUAGUUCAGUUAUAAUCCUAGCAGAGGUAAGAGAACUAGGCUGAAAGCCAUCUUUUGCAGCAGCCCUACAAGGCUGUCAGAUGUUAAUAUUGCAGACCAGAGAUCAGGCAAUUUAAACUGCCCCUUCAAACUGUAUCCCUAGUGCAAUUAAGCAUUUAAUUAAAUGGAGAACGUUGUUGAAUGAAGGUGUAAAGCACAUUGAAACGGACCAAAAUCAGAAAACACAGUGCUUGGCUUCAUUUUUAUUUUUUCCUUACACCCACUAAGCCAGGAUGCCUAUUUAUUGGCUUAGAUAUAAACUGGGCAGGCAGAAAAAACCAAUUUGUAAAUAACGAAGGGAUUUCUAACAUUCCCCCUUCCCCUUUAUGUGCAUGGGAAAAAUAAGUAGGUGUGCUUGUGUGUGUAUAUAUAUAUAAAUUUAAAGGAAAAUAAUAUUCACAAACCCACAGAAUUGUGUCAUAAGCUUCCAGAGCCUUCUAAAUGCUGAGGGCUUAGAGAAUGUCUUUGUUUGUUUUUUUUUGUUUUGUUUUGUUUGCUUUUCUAAAAAAGCAAUCUCUUCAUGGAGGGAUAUUGAAUUCUAUUUCUGUUGUUAUCUAGGACAGAAGUACUGUUAAGAUCUGAGAAGAGAAGUAACUCUCCACUCCAAACCAAAGAUAAUAUUAUAUUCUUUCUCCCAAUCGUAUCUUUAUUGUGUAUGCAGAUGCUAACUAUUAUUUUGGAAAAUAGUGCAUCAAUGACACAAGAGAACAUAGCCCUACUUUAAAAGGAAGAGGAGAUUGGACACACAAAAUAGCUCUGCUCUUUUUUUGUGGGUUAAAUAUGGUUAUUUAAGAGACAACAGACUGUGGGCUUAAAGACUGAAAUGUAAGGAGGAGGAGGAAGAAGGAGAGGGAGGGAAGUGGGAGGACGAGGAGGAGAAUUGAGUAGACUAAGCCUAUAACAACUUACAGUCUUCUGGAGUUAAUCAGGAGGCUAAAUUGCUUAGAUUCCAACUGGUGGCCAUUCCUACUUCAAGUCUUAUAUUCUUACUCCGUAGUAAAAGAACAAAAUGCUGGCUUUCUCAGCAAAAUUCCAAUGUCACAUUACUAAUAAGGAGUACUUAAAAUACAGCAAUAGCACUUUGUUAUAGGACUAAUUCUGUAGUAAAAAGUAAUAACCUCUAAUUUCCCAUCAAACUGUUUUCGAAGUAGCAUUGUUUCUUGCAGAUAUCUCAUGAGCCCCUUGUCUAAUGGUAACACCAAGGUUAAAAUGAUUAAAUGUAACUUCUUUAGUUAAGGAUGAUUAAUGUUCAAAGAAACUGGGGCAUGGAUCUAUUUGCACAGAUGCAGAGCAGGUUUUCUUUUUCAUAUAUACAGUGGGUGAGAAGAAAAGGAGACUACCGUAGAGUGAAGCUUUUAAACUGAAUGGGAUGGGGGGGGGGUUGCACUGUAUAUUUCAAUGAAAGCAACAGGAGUUUCCACCAAGAGACUAAAUCAUUUCUUGCAUGCUGUGAUGUGUUUGCCAGUCACUUUGCAGACAGAAUCAUUUGUAUUCAGGCCAAGUUGGGGCUGCCAUUUCUAAACAGAAGCAAACUUUUAAAGUUUUGCAGCGGCCACAUUUUGUCCUUUGAAGGAUACAACCCUGACUGCAUUCAGAGGUUGCCUUUUCUGAAUUGUUUUAGUCAAUGAAAAUCAAUAGGCUGGAGUCUUUUGGAGGGGAUGUUUUAUACAGGUGGGCCAAGGGAUUGCUUCCAAUAGGUUGCCAUAAUCUCAACCCCAGAACCAUGGAUCAGAUUCUGCCAGGCUGAUUCCAAAUUGUUCCUCUUGGUCUUGAUGGGGGCAAGCAUUUGAACCACCGCUCUGCUGCUGAGCCCAAUAAUUGAUCAAAGAUCUAAACCAGAGGUAAGCCAGGCCAGCCAAAAGAACAAAAGCUCUUCGGAUAACUUUGAAAACUAAUCUGUUUAUUAUUGCAUCAGGUUUUUCAGGUCACAGUCCACUUCAUCAGAUGCAUGGAGAUUAAUCCCAAGAAGGCACUAUCCUGCAUGCCGUAAAUCUAUGUGUGGUGCUGUCUCCUCUGUUCUUGGAAUGGUACAGCAUUUAUAAUGAUCAACACACAGCAGUUGGCAAAGAUCACAGUGGGGGUGAUCCUCUGCACAGAAAACACUGCAGAAGAAAACAAGCUGAGAGAGCACCAUGGAGCCCUCAGAUAACUUGGAUUAUCCUCGCCCUUCCUUCUGCUAGUUGCAGAUAAAUCCAAGAUCCUUUCCUUAAGGACUAGAGAAGGAGGACGGGAAAAGCUUUUAUCAUCUCCACCACUUUUGAUUCCACCUUUGCUUUGGGAAGCCUUCUACUUCUGCAAAGACGGGCCUUUGAUUGACUCCGCAUGAGAUGAAAAACAGAAGACAUUGUUUCCCAUAAUCAUCUAAAAUUAUUUCAAAUUUCUCUAGCACCAAAUGGCCCAGUAAAUCAGAAGUAGAUUUGAUGAAAAACCAAUGUUACAACAGCAAUAAAUAUUGGCAUUCCAGAAAAGUUUCAUAAAGUUCCUGGAAACUGAUGCAAGGAAGUCAAAAACUAUUCAUCUUGGAAAAAAUGGCUUAAAAGAGUGAUUAAAUAGAAUAAUUUCGGAACAGCAUUUUAUCCAGAGAGUUGUUGUUUCUUCUUGUGAUGGUAUGGUUAACCUUACAAAUUAGACCAAGUCAAGAAACUUAUUUCACUGAAAGACUAGCACCAUAGUUUAUUCAAAUAAACUAUAGCAACAGAGUCUUGAAAAUCCACCUUUGUUUUUUCUUCCAUCUGCAUUUCUUUCUAAAUCUUUCCCACUUCCCCAAUCUUAAUGCAUGUUUAACACACCUAUUAUUGUUUAGUGGCUUCUGAAUGGCUUCUCCAGGGUCAUCUCUAUGGCUCCUGACAGGUAUCCAAAUGUUAGAAAAACUAUAUACAACCCUCACAGUGUUUGCUUACUUUAGAUAACUGGACAUUUUCAAAACACUAGAAGUCAUAUCAGGACCAUAACCCUCAAAAUACAAUUUUCAGCAUGGUUGAGAUUUACUCCCACAUUAGUAUAUGAAUAUGCUGCACAACUCUUGAUUCAAUUGUGGGAAAACAAUACACCAGCUCUAUUCAUUCCAGAAGGAUCCCUUCCAAUGUUAAUUACCAUUUUAGGUUUACAGUUGGUCAGCGCAGCUUUGAUGCUCUUAAUAUCCAUAGGGGUCUGCAGCUAGACAGAACAAUGAGGACUUAAUAACAAAAUGAUGCAAAUCCUACCAUAAUAUAUGUCCUGCCAAUAAAGGACAAUAUCUGUAGCUCAGGGUUGAAAUGAGGGGUCCUUGGUGGUCUCUGUGCUUGGUUGU